Ctenopharyngodon idella (grass carp) is the source of this 18627-nucleotide RNA transcript. It is a transcript of the gene named stonustoxin subunit alpha-like, with no coding region annotated. NCBI's taxonomy places the organism in Eukaryota, Metazoa, Chordata, Actinopteri, Cypriniformes, Xenocyprididae. The transcript has 9 exons. The record is from RefSeq and is a predicted model, not a curated record.
CCUCCCCUCCAACCUCCGGCCCCUCGCACACCCUGUAAGGGAAUGAGCAAAAGAAGAACCUUUCUUAGAAUACACUUUUUCAUGGGACAUUAGGAAUACGAACAUUACUACAGAUCUCUGAUCAGCUUCAGACUUCAUCUCUUACCAUACCAAGAACAGACACUUUCAGGUCUCCUUGUUGACGAUUCCAAGAUGUCGGCACUUUUGAUGUACCUGAAGCAGCCGAGCUGCAUCUACUGUGCAUAUCUAUGGUUGGCAACCCUGGCUGUGGUGAAUGCACAGAUACCAUUCUUUCAAAAACAGGAAGUGUCACAACCCAAACCUGAUGAGCUUCAGAUUUUAAAUGAAGACACUGAAGGACUUCAUUUCUUAGCGGACCAAGGAAACACAAACAAUCCAGCCCUGGAAUCACAGCCUAUUGAAGUGGCAGCUGUAGGAAGACCUCUGCUUCUUGGUAUGCUGUAUGACUGCCGCAAGGAUACCUUCAUUCCAGGUGUUACUCUGUGGGAUAUUAAAUCAUUGAAGAAAGAUUUGCGCAUUCAUUCACAGCCCAUGACAGAUUUGAAGUUCAGUAGCUCUGACUCUCUCUCUAGUAAGUCCAGUCUCCUGGAUGUAAGUGCUUCCCUGAAGGCCAGCUUCUUGGGAGGGCUGGUGGAAGUGGGAGGAUCUGCCAAAUACCUGCGUGACACCAAAUCCUCAAGACAACAAUCCAGAGUAACAAUGUAUUACAAAGAAACCACACGAUUUGAAGAGCUCACCAUGUCCCAGCUGGGCCAAAUCACCUACCCUCAGGUGUUUGAGCAGAAAACAGCAACUCAUGUGGUCACAGCUGUGCUGUACGGAGCUCAGGCCAUCAUGGUGUUUGAUCGGACAUUUUCAGAAGAGAAAAACAAGCAGGAGAUUGAGGGAGAACUAGAUGUCAUGGUCAAGAAAAUCCCUGGAUUUUUCAUUGAGGGAAAAGGAGCUUUAAAUAUGACAGAUUGUGAUAAGAAAAUGACUGAGAGCAUCACCUGCACAUUUUAUGGUGACUUCCACCUUCAGAAGAGCCCCACCACUUACAUGGAGGCCCUGGAGGUGUACAAGAAGCUCCCCACUAUACUGAAGGAGAAUCCAAAGAAUGCAGUUCCGAUAAAAGUCUGGCUCUAUCCUCUUUAUCUACUGGAUACAAAAGCAGCUCGGUUGGUGAGAGAAAUUAGCACAAGUCUGGUUUCCACCACUGAAGAUAUAAUAGAAGGGCUGGGACAGGCAGAGAGGACAUACAACGACCUCUCCAGAAAAACACUGCUAAAUGUUUUCAGAGACAUCAAAGAGAGGCUGAAAUCAUUUCAGAGAUCAUUUAGCAUUUACAAGACAAUGCUCCUGAAAGCUGUCAGCAGGGUCUUCCUUGCUAUACGAGGAGGAGAGAUGGAGCAAAAUUCAUUGGAAGACAUCCUGAAGAUCCACUACAGCUCCCCUUUUAAUGAUGACAUGCUUAACCAGUGGUUAGAUCAUGCAAAGUCUGAACUUAACAUCUUGAGUUCUCACACCAAGAUGCUGGAGGGAAUCAAAACUGAAGAUUCAGAUCAUCUCAACACCAUCAUCCUUGAUCCUAAUAUUGAUGUUGUGGUGUGCUUGACCUUCACAUCUUUGAAGUAUGAAGACCCGUAUCUUUCAACCCUGAAGGAGUUUCUGAAAUCCGACAAGUUUAAUGAGCUAAAUGGGGAAAAAAACAUGGUUUCUGUGGCAUCUGUCAGAAAGUGGUUCAGCGAUCCUGAUGUCAUCUCAAAUAUGAAAGAGACCUUAUCUCUUUUCAAAAGUUUUUCAGAGGCUAAUAAAGAUGAUAAGAGAUAUCGAUUCAUUAUGUCUGUCAUCCCAGAUCCAUCCAGUCCAGGCUCCUCCAUCUAUCUGUAUGAAAAAGGGAAGCUGACAAACAGACAGUUCCAGCCCGUGUCGAAGCCUCCCCCACCAGAAGCGAAGGAGGUCCUGGACCGCUCUGUGUCCCUGAAACUGCAGAAGUCCCCGACUGGAGAAACUGUGCAGUACAGAGUGGAGUACCAGCAGGUGAAAGCAGAUUCUGGCGCUGAGGAACAGUGGCUUUUCAAAAACACAUCUGAUGAAGACUUUACUCUGACUGAGUUGGAGUUUGGAAAGCAGUACUUGAUCCGCUACAGGAUUGUGGGUAAAGUGGGAGUGAGUGAAGCCAGUGGCACUAUCAGCUCCAUACCGCCUUCAGGUGCACUCAACACAUUUUUGGAGAAUCACAAGGCAGAUGCUACUGUAGGAAGACAAGCAUCAGAGGCAAGCCCCAGUCCUAACUGCAUUGUUCCCAGGACCAGGAACGACUUCUUAAAAUGAUUGGAUCUGUUGUUUUCAAGUAAUGAGUUGUCUAUGUAUAAUGCGAGUAGUCAAAAAUAUAAACAAGCAAAUCCUGUGCAGACCCACAGCAUGCCCUCUAGAAGCCAUCCAAAAAUGAAUUUUAAGGGAAAGUUCGUCCAAAAAAUUAACAUUCUGUCAUCAUUUACUAACCUUCAAGUUGUUUCAAACCUGUAUGAAUUUCUUUCUUCUGCUGAACUCAAAAGAAGAUAUUUUGAAGAAUGCUGGGAAACAUUGACCAUAGUAUUUUUUUUUUCCAUAUCAUGGAAGUCAAUGGGGCCAUAUUCUUCAAAAUAUCUUCUUUUAAUUAAUGAACUUCUAUAGUAGUGAAUGAGAGACUACAUUCAUUUGUGUUCCUAUUUGCUCAAAUAUCAAAAGAAAAACGAUAUUGUUUUCACAACUUUCAAAAAGAGGGUAAAAAUAGAGAUUGAUAACAGCAGUCAGAAGAGGGAAACAUGUCAAUAUUGCCGCUGUAUUAGAAAAACCCUCACACACAGCAUCGUUAACUUCUUUUUUUGUAAUUGGAUGUAAAGGUAAUAUAAUACAAAGUAUAGUGCUAUAAAUGUACAUACAUUUAAAAAAAAAAAAAAAAAAAAAAUUAAAAAAUUAAAAACUGAAGCAUGAAUGCUGCUGAUGACUGUUAAAACACAUCAUCCCAGUCCAUUCAGAUCGUAAAGGGUGGUUUAAACCUAUUCUAAUCUGAUGGAUAGGAAAUGUGAACACUUGAUCAAACUGAAAACUGAAACUGGAAAGUUCUGUGCAUGUGCAAUGAAGUAGAAAUUGUGUAAUGACAUAUAACGCACAGAACAAGCUGUUGUUGAGUAUAGUGUCAUAAAUGACUGUCAUGUCAUUCCAAAACUCUCCGUCCCAUCGGUCCUUGUUUCAAACCGUCAUCCACAGUUGCAUUGUUUUGGGCAGGAAAGGGGCAUUUUUACUGUUUGAUAAAUAAAAGCAGCAUGGCACAAAGCUUCAUGUGCUUGUCAUCUCUUAAUUAGGACCCAUAAUAGAUACAUAUUAAGUCUGCACUUUAAAACAAAGAAAAGAAGGAAUUAAUUAAUUCCGAUUGAAACAAAAGGCACCAAUAGCUACAUCUCAUUUUGAAGGCUGAGUCCUCCGGAGGUGGCAGCUGUCUGCCACAUAUGUCCUUGAGGCUGCUUCAUUUCAGUAAACUGACCACUACAUUCCAAAGUCAGAAAGAAAUUACAACAAUUUAUGCUUCACUAGGAAUAACGGUAAUUUUCAUAGUGGUUACUGUUCUGAAAUAAAACAUCCUUUAUGACGUAUGCAGGCAACAAAUGCCACCUCCAGAGGGCCUUCGAAAUGAGAUGCACCAAUAGUGAACAUAGCUACUACUUUGUUUAUAUAGCAACCAGUUUUUAACAGCAACUGCAGUUAUGCGAUGACGAUUGCCUCUUUUAUUUAGAAAGUGGGACUUAUUCCACCAUAUUGCACAUUGGACUUUCUUCCAUUCAUAAGUAAAAUGUGUACCGUCUUUGUAUAUCUAAAGUCUUUGGAAUUACACAUUAAUCAGUAUCUUUGUUGGUUGGUUGGUGUUUUAACAGCAUGCCAGCCAAGGUUCCCUGGCUUUUUUCUUGGCAAGUAACAAGUUGAAAGGCCAUAAAAGAGCAAUUAAGAAACUUAUAUAAGGUCUUUAAAGUUUACUUUGGAUAAAAACUUUAAAAUGGAUUUAGGGUCAUUACCAUUUCCCACAAGGGUCAAGUCAAGUCACCUUUAUUUAUAUAGUGCUUUUUACAAUGUAGAUUGUGUCAAAGCAGCUUUACAUUGAUAACUGGUACAUUAUUUGGCUGCACAGCAGCUCUUAAAAGAAUAGUGUCAAUGCAGGCAGAUCAAAGCACUGUUGAAUAUCAAAUGUCAAGUCAAAUGUCAAGUGUCCCCAACUAAGCAAGCCAAAGGCGACAGCAGCAAGGAACCCAAACUCCAUCAGGUGACAUCAGGUGGCAGACAAGUGGCAAAUAGGUGUUUAAAUGGAGAAAAAAAACCUUGGGAGAAACCAGGCUUAGUCGGGGGGCCAGUUCUCCUCUGGCCAACAGUGCUUUGUUACGAUUCAGGUAGCUAUCAUAAGUCCAAUAGGAUCGCAACAUUAAAAGUAUUUAUUUCAGUUUCAUCCAAUUGAGGAUCGUAUUCAUCACGGCGGUAUGGACGGUUGUUGAGGAACUGUGUCGUGGCUGUCGUGUCGAUGAGGGCCUCACAGUGGAUGAUCUAGUUGACUCAAUCUCUGCUGACACUUCAGGGCUGCGUUGUGGUCGUGUCAAGGCGCAGGUCCUCUAUCUCACCUGGAUACGGCCCGGAUCCGGCUGACUACGGUGAACCUCGGGAUAACCAGAAAGACUAAUAUUAGCGUAGAUGCCAUUCUUCUUCUGAUGUAACGAGUACAUCAGGUGUUAUAGGAAGUGUUCCCGGUUCCGGCUGACCUACUUUAUGCAGCCUAAUAAUCCUUUAACAGAUUUGAAAAUAUAAAUUGGUAAUGUGUUAUGUGUAUGCCAGGUUAAAGAAAUGUGUUUUUAGUCUAGAUUUAAACUGACAGAGUGUGUCUGCUUCCCGAACAAUGCUAGGAAGAUUGUUCCAGAGUUUAGGUGCCAAAUAGGAGAAGGAUCUACCGUCUGCGGUUGAUUUUGAUAUUCUAGGUAUUAUCAGCUGGCCUGAAUUCUGAGAUCGCAAUAGACGUGAAGGACUAUAAUGAAUUAGGAGCUCGCUCAGGUACUGGGGAGCUAAACCAUUUAGUGCUUUGUAAGUAAUUAGCAAGAUUUUAAAAUCUAUACGAUGUUUAACAGGAAGCCAAUGCAGUGUUGACAGAACUGGGCUAACAUGGUCAUACUUCCUGGUUCUAGUAAAAACUCUAGCUGCUGCAUUUUGUGCGAGCUGUAGUUUAUUUAUCAGGCGAGCGGAACAACCACCCAGUAGAGCGUUACAGUAAUCUAGCCUUGAGGUCAUGAACGCAUGAACUAACUGUUCUGCAUUUGUCAUUGAGAGCAUAUGUCGUAGUUUAGAUAUAUUUUUAAGAUGGAAGAAUGCGGUUUUACAGAUGAAAGACAACAUGAUUGAUGAAAAGAUAACAUGGCCUUCAAAUGAAAGAUUGGUAUCAAAGAGCACACCCAGGUUCCUAACUGAUGAUGAAGACUUAACAGAGCAGCCAUCAAGUGUUAGACAGUAUUCUAGGUUAUUACGUGAAUAAGUUUUUGGUCCAAAAAUUAGAAUCUCUGUUUUUUCUGAAUUUAGUAGUAGGAAAUUGCAGCUAUGCAUUCUGUUAAUUUUGUGAAUUGGUAAGUUUCGUCAGGGCGCGAAGAAAUAUAGAGCUGAGUAUCAUCAGCGUAACAGUGAAAACUAACGCCAUGCUUCCUAAUGAUAUCUCCCAAGGGUAGCAUGUACAGAGUGAACAGCAACGGUCUUAGUACUGAGCCUUGCGGUACUCCAUAUUGAACUUGUGAUCGAUAUGACAUCUCUUCGUUUACUACUACAAACUGAUAACGGUCAGAUAGGUAUGAUUUGAACCAUGACAAUGCAAUUCCACUAAUGCCAACAUAAUUUUCGAGUCUAUUUAAAAGAAUAUUGUGAUCAAUAGUGUCAAAUGCAGCACUAAGAUCCAGUAACACUAAUAGAGAAAUACAACCACGAUCUGAUGAUAAGAGCAAAUCAUUAGUAACUCUAAUGAGAGCAGUCUCAGUACUAUGGUACGGUCUAAAUCCUGACUGGAAAUCCUCACAGAUACCAUUUCUUUCUAAAAAGGAACAUAGUUGUGAUGAUACUACCUUUUCUAGUAUUUUUGACAGAAAAGUGAGAUUUGAGAUUGGCCUGUAAUUGACUAAUUCUCUAGGAUCAAGUUGUGGUUUUUUAAUAAGAGGUUUAAUAAUAGCCAGCUUAAAAGUUUUUGGUACGUAUCCUAGUGAUAAUAAUGAAUUGACGAUAUUAAGAAGAGGAUCUAUAACCUCUGGAAGCAUUUCUUUCAAUAGCUUAGUCGGUAUAGGGUCUAACAUACAUGUUGUUGAUUUUGAUGAUUUAACAAGUUUAGACAAUUCUUCCUCUUCUAAAGCAGUAAAUGAAUUGAAUUUUUCCUCAGGGACAUUACAAUGCACUAUCUGACUUGAUACUGUAGUAGACGGUUGCAUGGUUAUAAUUUUUUCACUAAUAUUAUCAAUCUUGCAAGUAAAGAAGUUCAUAAAGUCAUUACUGCUGUGCUCUUUGGAAACAUCAGAAGUUGAAGCUUUAUUUCUUGUUAAUUUAGCCACUGUAUCAAAUAAAUACCUAGGGUUGUGUUUAUUUUCUUCUAAAAGUUUUGAAAAAUAAGCAGAUCUAGCAGUUUUUAAGGCCUUUCUGUACUCAAUCAUUCUCUCUCUCCACAAAAUGCGAAAUACUUCUAGUUUUGUUUUCUUCCAGCUGCGCUCCAUUUUUCUGGCAGUGUGCCCGAGUGUGCUCAUUGUACCAUGGUAUUGGAUUAAUUUCCUUAAUCUUUUUUAAGCACAAAGGAGCAACUGAGUCUAAUGUGCUGGAAAAGACAGAGGCAAUAGUUUCUGUUGCAACAUCGAGGUCUUCUAAGCUGUCUGGUAUGCUAAGGCGAUGAAACUGAUCAGGAAGAUUAUUUAUAAAGCAAUCUUUAGUGGUAGAAGUGAUGGUUCUACCAUAUUUAUGGCAUGGAGGCAGUUUAGCCGCCUUGACUAAAUGUAGUAUACACGAGACUAGAUAAUGAUCUGAGAUGUCGUCACUCUGCUGCAGAAUUUCAACAGCAUCAAUAUCGAUUCCAUGUGACAAUAUUAGAUCUAAAGUAUGAUUACGACAAUUAGUGGGUCCUGACACAUGUUGUCUAACACCAAUAGAGUUUAGAAUAUCUGCAAAUGCCAAUCCUAAUGCGUCUUUUUUAUUAUCUACAUGGAUAUUAAAAUCACCAACAACAAGGACUUUAUCUGCAGCCAAUACUAACUCCGACAGAAAAUCAGCAAAUUCUUUGAUAAAGUCUGUAUGGUGUCUUGGUGGCCUGUAUACAGUAGCCAGCACAAAUGUCAACCUACAUAAUGUUACGUAAAGUACCAUCACUUCGAAGGAAUUAUAUUUGAAAGACUUUUGACUAAUACUGUAAAUAUUACUAUAGAUUACAGCAACACCUCCCCCUUUGCCUUUCUGAUGGGCAUUGUGUCGAUAAUCAUAACCUUGAGGACUAGACUCAUUUAAAGUAAUGUAAUCGUCCGGUCUUAGCCAAGUUUCUGUCAAACACAGCACAUCUAGAUUAUUAUCUUUGAUAAUAUCAUUAACAAUAAGUGAUUUUGAAGAAAGGGAUCUAAUAUUUAACAACCCAAGCUUUAUCAUUUGUUUAUCAGUAUUAUCUCUAUUUUUUAUUUGUUGAACAUCAAUUACAUUUUUACCAUUAAAUGGGUUUGGAAGUUUUUUGUUUUUACUAAUUCGGGGUACAGACACAGUCUCUAUGUGAUAAUAUCUAGGUGUAAGAGUUUCUAUGUGUUGGGAGUUAUCUGAAUUUUCUGACUUCUGUAACGUGAGGCAGCUAGCAGACGGUCGGUUUAGCCAGUCUGUCUGCUUCCUGACCUGGGCCCCAGUUUGUCAUGUUUCAGCUCUAAGACUAUGUGCCAUAUUACUAGAGAGAAGAGCAGCACCAUCCCGGGAGGGAUGAAUACCAUCUCUUUUCAACAGGUCAGGUCUGCCCCAAAAACUUUUCCAAUUGUCUAUGAAACCUAUAUUAUUUUGCGGACACCACUUAGACAGCCAGCCAUUGAGUGAUGAUAAUCUGCUAUCUCAUCACUCCGACGAACAGAAAGGGGGCCAGAGCAAAUUACUUCUCCUGACAUUGUACUUGCGAGUUCACACACCUCUUUAAUGUUAAUUUUAGUGAUCUCCGACUGGCGAAGUCGAACAUCAUUAGUGCCGACGUGAAUAAUAAUCUUAGAGUAUUUACAAUUAGCAUUAGCCAGCACUUUUAAAUUUGCUUUGAUGUCAGGUGCUCUGGCUCCCGGCAAACAUGUGACUAUGGUGGCUGGUGUCUCUAUUUUCACAUUUCGUGUAAUAGAAUCGCCAAUAACUAGGGCACUUUCAGCAGGAUUCUCAGUGGCUGUAUCACUGAGUGGGGAGAACCUGUUUGAUGUUCUUAUUGGAACGGAAGAGUGGUGUUUUCCGCGGCUAGGCCGCCUCACUGUUACCCAAGUGCCCUGCUGCGAUGUACAGAGUUCACUAAGCUAGUCGCAUCCAAAACAGUAUCUGAAGCCCUUGCAUUCUUACUAUCCUCGAUUAAAGUUUGGAUGCGUGUCUCUAAUUCUGAGAUUCUCUCUGUCAGCCUGACUACUUCCCUACAUUUAUGACAUGUAAAUCCCUCGUCGCUGACAGAGAGAGCUAUGGUAAACAUGUGGCAAAUGGAACAGGUAGCAAUGCUGGGAGAGGAUGACAUGACUCACCGUGUUUGUAGACUGAUCCGACUUACCACAGCUGUUUGAAGAACGCGUUGAAAAAGGAGCGCGCGAGAGACUGUUAACAAGUUAACAAGCUAGCGCUGCAAAUGCAAAUGCGUUGUAACAGCGAUUUAGAUUCAAAGAUUACAAGCUAGCGACGUCAGAUUAGUUUGGUAGGCAAUAUUACAUAUAAGGUAAUAAAAAAAAAAAAUAAAAAAAAAAUAAGCAACAAUGAAUAAAAGAGAUUCAAAACAAAGCUAUACAGAGUUACAGACGCAAACAAAUCUGAGCAGCGAGGCAGACAGGAGCAAUUGAGCAAUCGACCUGACAGUAAACAGCUGUAAAGGGUGCCCAAUUAUUAAGUGUUUCUUAAAAUCUUAUCUUAUUAGCUGGUUCAGGUGUGUUUGAUUAAGGCUGGAGCUGCAGCAACUUUGCAGAAAGGUAGAUCUCUAGGAACAGGAUUGGGCACCCUUGAUAUACAGUAUAAAUAGGUUACGAUAUCCAUCUUUCUGUUCAUCUUCUGAGAUCCUUUAAUUUUGUGCCCUGCAGACCUUGAUUUCAACGUCUUCAAUGCCUGUGUGAGGAGGCUUAAAGAAAGACUGUAAGGUGCUGUCACAUUAGCGAAAUUUUGCAGGCAAAAAAAAAAAAAAAGAAGUCAAUUUUCAAUAGUCUAGCAUAGAGGAUCUCAAACUUUUUUGUCAGCCAAACCCCCUUUGUCAUAAAAUAUUUUCUUGUAGUAGCCCCUGAGAUUUAAAGUUAAUAUUUCAAUAAUUUAACAACAUAUUUGCAUGUACAGUUCUCUGAUGUCGGAUAAUGGUAACAUGACAUGCAGGCAAACACAUAAAAUGUUUUUAGUAAGAGUUUUGUUUUGUUUUAAUUUUAAAAUUAUGCAUUUACAGUACAUGGCUGCUCGAUUUCAUUCUGUCAUACAUUGCCAAUGUAUGCCAAGUAUGAAGCACAGCUCACACAGACAUCACUUUCAAACCAAUUCGCCGAACAACGGUAAAUGUAACCUCUCUAUAUUUGGUAAAGAAUUUCAAAUAUCUCAACUAGCUGAUGAUACUACUGUAUUUCAUAAAGACCAAAGUCAAAUUACAUUGAGUAUCAAUAUUAUUAAAUCUUUCUCUGAAGCCUCAGGCUUAUAUUUAAAUUUAUUAAAGUGUGAGCUAUUUUGUCUUUAUGACACCCAACAAGCAUUGAUACUCCAUAUACCCAUAAAAGACUGUAUCAAGUACCUGGGGAUUUUUCCUUACUAAAGAUGGAUUACUCAUCAACAACUUAAUUUUUCACCUAAAAUAACGAAAACUAGAACAAUCUUUGGUAACACUUUAGAAUACUGUUUCUUACUUACUGCAUAACUAAUAAGGAAUUACUGUUGAACUAAUAGGUAAUUCUUCAUUAACACUUAAGUCACUACUGUAAUCAGUAACUAAUGAAUUCUGUCAUAUCUCCUGAAGAACUACUGUUAAUUAUCUACUAAUUAAGGUUCAAGAAAAAUAACUAUGAAGUAACUACUAAUGAACAAACACAAUUACAUUGAGUUGUCACCCUUUCUUAUUUACUAAUGUUAUCAGUAGUAGUAUUAUGAAAAUGCAAUAUUAAUAAAUACAAUACAUUUUAUAGAGGUUUUUGCCUGUGUGGUAAAUAAUUGUUUUGUGAGUGUGUUCUGUAAGAAAUUUCGGAAAGGAACCCCACCCCCACUCUAAAUGCCUUCACAGCCGACUUACCUCAUAUUAGUUUUUAUAUUUCAUAUACAGUACUGUAAGUGUGUCUGUUUUCCUCAGCAUAUCACAUUACCAUUGACUAAAUUCCAGUAUGUAAGGCAAUGACUGAGGGAAAGUGAAAAUACAGGAAACCCAUUAGUAAUUAAUAAAGAAUUAUUAGAACCUGAAACAGUUUUCUAAAGUGAAAAUAUAGGGAACCCAUUAGCAAUUCAUAAAUAAUUACCACAUAAUGCUGACUCAAAUCAAACUUACACUCUGAAAAACAGACAAACAAACAAACAAAAAAAACACUAUUAACGUAAUAAUCUAAAAAACUUUGUAAAAUACACAACACAACCACUAGUUUACAUGAUAUCUUCCUUUAUUUCAGAUGAGAACAUUUCUUAAUACAGCAUAUUUUAUUCCGUUUUAACAUGUAUACUUACAUUUAAACUCGUUUAACAAACAUUUUUGAAUCAAAAGUUAAAACAUUUAAAAGCAAGUGUAAUCAACCGGCCUCGGUUAUCCCGUUUCCAGAGGGUAGCUGUAACGAAGCGGGACUCAGGGUAAGAUCCAUUUUCAAGCUUUUAUUAAAGCAGAGUUCGUAAUCAAACAGGUAAGGGUCAAACAGGUAUGGCAGAGAGCAGGCAGAAUCGUGGGGUCGUGGAACAGGCAGUAGAAUCAGGGCAGGCAGAUAUCAAUCACAGAACCAGGAAACAAUAAACAGUCCAAAGGCAGGCAGCAGAGAAUCAUACACGGGGAACAGACAGGAACAGAAACAGGCAGGCAAACAGGAUAACACACUCAGAAUUGCAACCAGGGUAUACAAGACCUCGCAAAGUGUGUGUGGAUGUGAGUGGCUUAAAUAGUCUGGGUAAUGAGCUGCAGCUGGGUGUGGUGAUUAUUGAUUGGUGGAGUGAGUGCAGGUGACAGGCAGGGAGGAUUGUGGGAAACGAAGUCCGGGAAUGACUGGAACUGUGACGGUAGCGGUGCUGGAUCUUGUGUGGGAGCUGGGCUCGUGUUCGGUGGGGAAACUGCUAACUUCAGACUGCCGCCGUGUGUUUCACUCAUUGCCGAAAGAUGCUGUGAGUGACUCCAUAACCUGCCCAUAAUCAAACAGUGCAGAGCUCUGAGAACAUAUCUUAAAAUCUUAAGUAAUUAGAUAUCUUUAGAAAUAAAAUAAUGUGUUUUAUGCAAGGGAUCAGGCAUUUCCAUCAUGCAAAAAGACCAAUGCGACACUCGUUAGGUGACUGACAUCACGUACCUGUAUGUUGUCUUGCAUAAAAUAAAAUGAUUUACAGCACAGCAAUGAUUUUAUAGAUAAAAUAAAACGUACACAAACCUGUAUUUCGCCGAUGAAAUGCACCAAUUCGGCGGCACAAGAACUGCUCUCUCCUGAAGAGGAUGAAAAUGCCCGCGCUCAGUAGGGGGACGGGCGGGGGGGAUAACAACACAAAAACUACCCAACACUGAAAAAAUAACGCAAUAAAUAAAUAAAUAAGUAAGUAAAACAUUUUAUAUCUGUGGUAAGUUGGAUAGUUAUGGCAAGACAGUGGGGGUGGGGUUCUUUUCCGAAGCUGAUUUCUUACAGAACAUGCGCACAAAGUAGUUAUUCACCAUUCAGGCAAAAACUUCUGAACAAGUCUUUUUGGGAGUGCAGCAUAUUAUGCAGCAUAUAAAUGCAUAUUUAAUUACCAUAAUAAUAAUACUAAGUGGUGGACUGUAACAAAGUAGUUGUAAUUUUACUUAAGUUAGUUACUUCAUAGUUAGUUAUUUUUCUUGAACCUUAAUUAGUAGAUAUUUAACAGUAGUUCUUCAGGAGGUAUGACAGAAUUCAUUAGUUAUUGAUUAGCUAACUGUUACUUAACAUAAUCAUAAAAUUCUAUUACAUACUGAUUAAUUAACUGAUUAAAUAACUGAUUAAUCUUCCUUAGUGGUGACUUAAUGAAGAAUUACCCAUUAGUUCUUCAGUAAUUCCUAAUUAGUUAUGCAGUAAGUAAGAAACAGUAUUCUAAAGUGUUACCCAAUCUUUAACUUUUGGUUACAACCAAUCAACAAAGAGUUCUUAUAUCCAAAGCAGAGGGUUUGUCUCGUUGUGUUUAUCCCUCUUUAUCUUUAUUUGUUAGCGACAAAAUUUGUGAUGAUAUUGACAAAAUGUUUAAACACAAAGUUAGGAAAUCUGUUUUGUCUAAUAGACAUUCUGAGGGUGGACUGAAAGUUUUAAAUUUCAAGGAAUUGGUCAGCUCUUUUAGAAUUAGUUGGUUAAAAAAAAAUGUCUUUGUAGUAAUGACGCAAUUUGGUACUAUAUCCCCAGUGCCAUAUUUCAUAGAUUAGGUGGCUUAGAGUUUCUUUUAAAAUGUACUUUUACCCCUUCUAAAUUACUGAUUUCUCUCUCUAAAUUUCACCAACAAGUUUUACUUGCUUGGAAAUUGUGUUAUGUGCAUAACUUUUCUCCCCACAAAGAAAUUCUGUGGAAUAACUCAAAUAUUUUAAUCUGAAACAAAUCUUUUUUUUUAUGGACAAGUGGUAUGAUAGAGGUAUCGUGAUAACAUUGAUUUGCAAAUUUAUUUUAGAAAACCCAUCAAAGAUCACAUACCCCAAACACAGCAAAACAUAUAACCCUCAGCUUUAAUUAUCACAGUUAAGACAGUUUUACAUUUUACUUAAACACACCUCCACAGAGAACAGGUCAAGACAAACAACAACAACAACAAAACAGACAAAAACUCUGAAGUGCAAAACCACAUCUUGACUGAAAGCAGAAAUGGCAUUUGCUCACUUGUGUUUUCCCAUACGCUUAGUAUGCGCAUAGUCUUAGUCACGAUUGAUCACAACCACCCAAAACAUGAAUGAAUAGAAUAACUUUGUCAAAGCAAACCCAUUCACGUAUGGAAUUUACAACUCAGUUCGGCUUUCAAACAGUUUUUUUUUUUUUUUCACAUUAAUGCAAAGCAAAACCAAAAAAACUUGCAUGUAUGUGUGGGGGUGGCAUGUCUGUGGGGGGACUAGUUGUUUUAGUCCAUUACCCACUGCAAAGAGGAAUGAUCCGUAAUCACUGUAAACAAUUGGUGUUCCAGGUAGUGUUGCCAUUUGUCAAGUGCCCAAACCAAUGCUAGGCACUCUUUUUCCAUGGUGGAGUAGUUAACCUCUGCUUUAUUUAAGGUUCAACUGGCGUAAACGAUCACUUUUUCACUGCCUUGCUCCUUCCGCUGGGUCACAGCACCCAGGCCAGUGUCGCUUGCAUCAGUGCACACUGUGAAAGGUGACUGAAGGUUGGGAUGUCCCAAAAUGGGUGGUGAUGUAAGACAAGCUUUCAAGUAAUCAAAGUCUUGUUGACACUGUGACGUCCAUUGAAAUGGUUGACCUUUCUUUUUCAAGGUUUUAAGAGUUUCAGCGAUCCUCGAGAAGUUUGGAACAAAUCGAUGAUACCAUCCAGUUAAUCCCAAGAAACGCUGGACUUCCUUAAGAUUGCGAGGAACUGUGUAAGUAUGGAUGGCUUCCACCUUACUUGGAUCUGCAGUGAUACCUUGACUGUUGACUACAUGACCAAGAAAGGUGAUCUCACGGAGACAGAACUUGCAUUUUUUCAGGUUCAGGGUUAAUCCAGCUGUUUGCAGCUUCUGCAAGAUGGUCUGGAUGUCAGAAAUGUUGGUCCAUAGAUCGUGAAUAAACAAUAAUGUCGUCAAUAUAGACAAAGCACAUGAUUCUGAGCAACCCUCUCAUGACUAUCUCCAUGAGUCAUUGGAACCUUGCCGGUGCAUUUUUCAGGCCAAAGGGCAUAACAUUAAAAUGAUAUAGCCCUCUGGAAGUAAUAAAAGCAGUCUUCAGCUUACUCUCUGGUUCCAUGGGAACCUGCCAAUAGCCACUGUUAAGAUCCAAGGUUGAAAAAAUGGAUGCACCGGAGAGUGACUCCAAAAUUUCUGUGAUGUUAGGCAGUGGAUAAGCAUCACUCUCGGUGAGGGCACUGACCUUUCGAUAGUCUACACAGAAUCUGAGACUUCCAUCUUUUUUAGGAACUAAAACAACCAGGGAAGCCCAUGCGGAAUGAGAGGUUUCUAUGCUGCCAGCAUCCAACAUGUCUUUGAUCUGAUCUUUAACUAUGGCUUGCUUCACAGGUGUGAGCCAGUAAGGUCGUUGUUUGAUAGGUACUUUUUGAUUGAUGUGUAAGCAGUGUUGAAGAACAUUCGUUCAUACUGGCCAGCGCGUACACACUGUUGGAUGCGAUUCCAAGAUUUGGCGUAACUAAACUUCGUCAUUGUGAGACAAGGUUGCUUUCUUGAUUGCUUUGUCAAUUAAGACUUGACCCUCGGUAAGUGUAGAAUCAGUUUCUCGUGAUGCCAACAGGAGUUGAGGUGGUGGAACAACGCUCAGUAGAGAACGAUUUUGUUAAGAACUUUUAGACUGCUUGGUUUUCCAUGGACACGAAACUCUACUUGUUGGUUUGAUUGCUUGUCCUGGCUGGAAAAAGUAUUCCACUUCAGGUGCACAUUUAAAAAAAUACUUCCCAUCAGCAAUAUUGAGUUGAAGACCACUUAGGAAGAUGAAGUCCAGCCCUAAGACUGCAAGGAAAACUCUGAUUAUGAAGUUUAAUCAGUACACUGAUCCAUCCCAGUGGAGCUUCGGCCUCGCCAUUCGGUAGAUAGAGAGGUCCUGAGGUCCAUGGUUGAAGACUCUCUUGAGGUGUAAGUUCCUUCCACAAACUCUCAUGUAUGAGGGUAUAGCUGGCUUCAGUGUCUCCAGUGUACUGCACAUUGUGGGUUGUCAGGAACAGGAAUACUUUUUGAAAUAGGUGCUGUCUUUGUGGCUGAGACUGCAUUGUUGGAGGGUGGACCACCUUGUUUUGGACCUUGGUGUGGUCUCUUGCUUUGAGAUGGCUGUGACUGAUGAAAUGUUUGCUUUGAAGAAGAUGAGGAGUAACCAGAACAGUUCCCUGGAGGAUGGUGACCCUUAAACUGCCAGCACUGAACCGAAGUCUAGUCCAUCUGUUGAAUUACAGGUGCUCGAGGUGACAUAGACAGUUGUUUGUGGUGUAAGCUGCUCUCAUAUUGGAGUUGCUGCUCAUAGUCCUUCUCCAGUUGAUGAUCUAGCUUAACCAACUCCUCCAUUGUAGAUACUCAACUGCGGAGCUGGCUGGCAAGGUGACGUUUAAUAUUUUUCAAAAUAAUUUUUACAAUUUCACUCUCUGUUAAUGUUGACUUCCAUCUCUUGCAUAAGGCUCUGUAUGAAAAAGCAAAAUCCCUAAUGGGUUCUUUCUCACCUUGAGUUCUUAUUAUGACUCUUUCUGCUAUCUCAUCCUCAUAGUCUUUAGAAUGAAAUGCAGAAAGGAAAGCUGCCUCAAAUUCAGUCCAGGUAAAUACAGAGGUACGUGCCACCUCCACCAGUCGCGGGCAGUUCCAUACAAAACUGUACGGAAAGUAGCUAAUAGAUCCACAUCGGACAAUGGAUGCAAUGCCAGGAAAUAUUGACAUUGAGUUAAGAAGUUCAAAGGAUCUGGAUCAUCAGUUGGUUUUCCAAAGGUGGGAAAAGUAAGUCGUAGAUAAUCACUUUUAGCUAUAGGAACAGGUGAAAUGGUGGUAGUAAGUGGUACUGAGCUUGGUGAUGCAUGAAUAUUGGUUGAAGAUACUGCUGAAGAUACUUUCUGUUGGUAGGCAGACAUCUCUUUAAUCUCUUUCAUCUGUGUUUGAAGUUGGUCAGACAAGUCUGACUGAAAUUAAGUGUUGAUACAGAAGUCAUCCAUUUGAUUUUUGUAUUGAUGGAAUUCUUUGUUGGACUGUUCUUGACUGUUUUUCAGACUCUGAAAAGUGGCCUUGAGGUCCUGCUGAACUUCUGCUUGAAGCUGUUGAACCAGGAAAUGCACUUCAGAAAUAACAGUAGUCUCGACUUUAAUUCUUCUGUGAUUAUACGCUUUGUAGCCUUAGACCAUUGAUCUAUCUCACUUUCCAUCUUUUGUGUGUUAUCAGUGAUGUACUUUAGUAAUUGUUUCUGGUUGUCCUCCAUCUUGACUACCACAGUUAAAAUAUGAGUUGAAUGCUGUGAAAACUUGGUUUUAUCUCUUGGGCGAGUUGUGUAACUGCGUUCUCCUGUCGCUGGACAAAUGUCUUUAAGGUGUCCAAGUUUCCUUGUACUUGUUUAGUAAGUUGCUGGAUUCCUCGGCCUGGUGUUUGAAGUUCACAUGGGUAACGCCUGCUGUCCCACAGAUGAAGAAGACUCAGGGGUUGUGCAAAUCUGCAUGUGAUCUCCAUUUGGAUCCCAGGACUUGGCAUCUGCACACAGUGCCAAAGCUACCAGUACCUGGUUUAAGGACCAUGGUAUCCCUGUUCUUAAUUGGCCAGCAAACUCGCCUGACCUUAACCCCAUAGAAAAUCUAUGGGGUAUUGUGAAGAGGAAGAUGCGAUAUGCCAGACCCAACAAUGCAGAAGAGCUGAAGGCCACUAUCAGAGCAACCUGGGCUCUUAUAACACCUGAGCAGUGCCACAGACUGAUCGACUCCAUGCCACGCCGCAUUGCUGCAGUAAUUCAGGCAAAAGGAGCCCCAACUAAGUAUUGAGUGCUGUACAUGCUCAUACUUUUCAUGUUCAUACUUUUCAGUUGGCCAAGAUUUCUAAAAAUCCUUUCUUUGUAUUGGUCUUAAGUAAUAUUCUAAUUUUCUGAGAAACUGAAUUUGGGAUUUUCCUUAGUUGUCAGUUAUAAUCAUCAAAAUUAAAAGAAAUAAACAUUUGAAAUAUAUCAGUCUGUGUGUAAUGAAUGAAUAUAAUAUACAAGUUUCACUUUUUGAAUGGAAUUAGUGAAAUAAAUCAACUUUUUGAUGAUAUUCUAAUUAUAUGACCAGCACCUGUGUGUGUGUGUAUAUAUAUAUAUACUGUUUAUAGUAUAGUGGAUAUUAACAUAAAUUUUGAUAUGUUAUUAAAAUAAAUGUGAAGUAAUUAAAUGUCAUGAUGAGUAGCUGAACUUUUAAAACUUAGUAAGCAUGAUUCAUAACUUCAAAACAAUAGUCUUUGGUUACACUUUCUUUCGAUGGUCCACUUUAGACAUUCUACUAACUACUUUUGCAACUACAUGUCAGCUAACAAGGACAACUACAAGGUACUUCAACAACUGGACAGGAAAUGAGAACAAUAUUUUCUUUUAUUUUUACCCCUUUUCCACCCAGGCAGUUUGAGUGCUGGUUCAGAGCCAGAGCCUAGUUUCAAAUCAGUUCUUUGUCUUUGACACCCAAAGCACCAGCUCUGAACCAGGAAGAGUGGUUCGUAAGUAGUACCAAAACAUUGCUGGUCUAGAAACAAGAACUGCUUGUGUCAGGGGCUGGGGGCGGGGUUACCGUGACCAACAAGAAACUUGUGACCGCCAUAUUUGAAAUAGCAGCUAAUCGAGCUAAUAGCAGCUCGAUUGUAAUCCAAGCCGUGUUUGGAUGCCGAUGUAGGUUCGCAAAGCCAUGAGCAUCAGUAGUAACAAAACGUCCGCCAUUGUUGAUGGAAGGCUUGUCCGAGAUGUAUCGGAGCGGUGCAGACCGAUCGGCGGGUGACAUCGGAGUGCCAUGGGUCCGCGGGACCAUUUGUAGAGCAUACGACUCCUUGUGCUUUUGGAUCGCUCUCACGGUUCUUUGAUGUCAUGCGCCGAUCGCUCUGCAAGAAGCCGAUGCAUCUCGAACAAGCUUGGUGUGUUUGGCGCUGCCAUGCUAGCGUUGCUGGUAAAGAUGAGACGUAAACAGUGAAGUAAGACUUGGCUCUGUGCUGGCUCUCUAGCCUGUGGAAAGGCAAACCGGUUCUUAGAAGGUUCGUCAGUCGAACCAACUCCGAACUGGCACUAGCACUAGCUCUGAACUAGCACCCUGGUGGAAAAGGGGUAAUACAAAAAAACAGGGUAUGCAUAAUAACAGUGAAGCUGUAUUUGUGACAUGUGGUAACGUGAUUCACAUGUUAAAAGCCAUUACAACAUGUGAAAAUAUUUUCCACGUGCGACAUUCACGUGGUUUUUCUGUAAGGGUGUUCUUCCUGUAGAAGGAGAAAGAAAACAUGACAGAAGUGUUUUAGAGUUGAUCGUGUAAAUGAUUUUUCACAGGAUAUCUGGUAAACUGUACUGAGACAUUGCUGAUAUAUUAAACGAAGAGUUCAGAUACAUUAAAAGAUCAGAUUGAUCAUUCCUGAUUGUGAUGUGUUUUAUCUCCAUCA